AUGAAACUAAGGAGGACUAGCAACGAGAACUCAAAAAGGAAUUACGAGGUGUCUCUUCUCUUAGUCAUCUCGAUUUCGAUUUGGUUAAGAUAUCUCCUCUUAUUUAUCUGGAUUUCAGUUUGGUGGAGAAAUGAUGAAUGCAUGUCGAUUUGUGUAUCUCAUACGAAUGUGUAGCUGAUUGGUUCAUUAAUUUGUGUCAGCAAAAGAGAGAGUAAAGCUGGCAACUGUCGAUUUGACUGCUUCAACUGAAGAAGAAGGCAAUGUGAACUCAGUUGAAGAAGAAGACGUGAACUUUGAGAAGAAUUUAAGGAACUCAGGUGAAGAAGAUGGCGAGAGGGGAUCUUAGGAGAACUCGGGAC
This 359-nucleotide long non-coding RNA is filed under the name Brassica napus (rape). Its description in RNAcentral is "long non-coding RNA (BNAP_LNC021392)". Lineage: Eukaryota; Viridiplantae; Streptophyta; Magnoliopsida; Brassicales; Brassicaceae. The record is from RNAcentral.